GGUUAAGCGACUAAGCGUACACGGUGGAUGCCCUGGCAGUCAGAGGCGAUGAAGGGCGUGCUAAUCUGCGAUAAGCGCCGGUAAGGUGAUAUGAACCGUUAUAACCGGCGAUACCCGAAUGGGGAAACCCAGUGUGAUUCGUCACACUAUCAUUAACUGAAUCCAUAGGUUAAUGAGGCGAACCGGGGGAACUGAAACAUCUAAGUACCCCGAGGAAAAGAAAUCAACCGAGAUUCCCCCAGUAGCGGCGAGCGAACGGGGAGGAGCCCAGAGCCUGAAUCAGCAUGUGUGUUAGUGGAAGCGUCUGGAAAGGCGCGCGAUACAGGGUGACAGCCCCGUACACAAAAGCGCAUGUGCUGUGAGCUCGAUGAGUAGGGCGGGACACGUGGUAUCCUGUCUGAAUAUGGGGGGACCAUCCUCCAAGGCUAAAUACUCCUGACUGACCGAUAGUGAACCAGUACCGUGAGGGAAAGGCGAAAAGAACCCCGGCGAGGGGAGUGAAAAAGAACCUGAAACCGUGUACGUACAAGCAGUGGGAGCCCCACCACCAAAGCAUUCUCUGGUGUUGAAGGCCCUGCAAAGCAGCAUCGCGGUGGCGGAGCGUCGUUUGCGACGCCCAACACACAAAACAAGCGGUGAGUGCUUUGGGGUGGGGUGACUGCGUACCUUUUGUAUAAUGGGUCAGCGACUUAUAUUCUGUAGCAAGGUUAACCGUAUAGGGGAGCCGGAGGGAAACCGAGUCUUAAUUGGGCGUUAAGUUGCAGGGUAUAGACCCGAAACCCGGUGAUCUAGCCAUGGGCAGGUUGAAGGUUGGGUAACACUAACUGGAGGACCGAACCGACUAAUGUUGAAAAAUUAGCGGAUGACCUGUGGCUGGGGGUGAAAGGCCAAUCAAACCGGGAGAUAGCUGGUUCUCCCCGAAAGCUAUUUAGGUAGCGCCUCGUGAAUUCAUCUCCGGGGGUAGAGCACUGUUUCGGCUAGGGGGUCAUCCCGACUUACCAACCCGAUGCAAACUGCGAAUACCGGAGAAUGUUAUCACGGGAGACACACGGCGGGUGCUAACGUCCGUCGUGAAGAGGGAAACAACCCAGACCGCCAGCUAAGGUCCCAAAGUCAUGGUUAAGUGGGAAACGAUGUGGGAAGGCCCAGACAGCCAGGAUGUUGGCUUAGAAGCAGCCAUCAUUUAAAGAAAGCGUAAUAGCUCACUGGUCGAGUCGGCCUGCGCGGAAGAUGUAACGGGGCUAAACCAUGCACCGAAGCUGCGGCAGCGACACUCAGGUGUUGUUGGGUAGGGGAGCGUUCUGUAAGCCUGCGAAGGUGGCCUGUGAGGGUUGCUGGAGGUAUCAGAAGUGCGAAUGCUGACAUAAGUAACGAUAAAGCGGGUGAAAAGCCCGCUCGCCGGAAGACCAAGGGUUCCUGUCCAACGUUAAUCGGGGCAGGGUGAGUCGACCCCUAAGGCGAGGCCGAAAGGCGUAGUCGAUGGGAAACGGGUUAAUAUUCCCGUACUUGGUGUUACUGCGAAGGGGGGACGGAGAAGGCUAUGUUGGCCGGGCGACGGUUGUCCCGGUUUAAGCGUGUAGGCUGGUUUUCCAGGCAAAUCCGGAAAAUCAAGGCUGAGGCGUGAUGACGAGGCACUACGGUGCUGAAGCAACAAAUGCCCUGCUUCCAGGAAAAGCCUCUAAGCAUCAGGUAACAUCAAAUCGUACCCCAAACCGACACAGGUGGUCAGGUAGAGAAUACCAAGGCGCUUGAGAGAACUCGGGUGAAGGAACUAGGCAAAAUGGUGCCGUAACUUCGGGAGAAGGCACGCUGACACGUAGGUGAAGUGAUUUACUCAUGGAGCUGAAGUCAGUCGAAGAUACCAGCUGGCUGCAACUGUUUAUUAAAAACACAGCACUGUGCAAACACGAAAGUGGACGUAUACGGUGUGACGCCUGCCCGGUGCCGGAAGGUUAAUUGAUGGGGUCAGCGCAAGCGAAGCUCCUGAUCGAAGCCCCGGUAAACGGCGGCCGUAACUAUAACGGUCCUAAGGUAGCGAAAUUCCUUGUCGGGUAAGUUCCGACCUGCACGAAUGGCGUAAUGAUGGCCAGGCUGUCUCCACCCGAGACUCAGUGAAAUUGAACUCGCUGUGAAGAUGCAGUGUACCCGCGGCAAGACGGAAAGACCCCGUGAACCUUUACUAUAGCUUGACACUGAACAUUGAGCCUUGAUGUGUAGGAUAGGUGGGAGGCUUUGAAGUGUGGACGCCAGUCUGCAUGGAGCCGACCUUGAAAUACCACCCUUUAAUGUUUGAUGUUCUAACGUGGACCCGUGAUCCGGGUUGCGGACAGUGUCUGGUGGGUAGUUUGACUGGGGCGGUCUCCUCCUAAAGAGUAACGGAGGAGCACGAAGGUUGGCUAAUCCUGGUCGGACAUCAGGAGGUUAGUGCAAUGGCAUAAGCCAGCUUGACUGCGAGCGUGACGGCGCGAGCAGGUGCGAAAGCAGGUCAUAGUGAUCCGGUGGUUCUGAAUGGAAGGGCCAUCGCUCAACGGAUAAAAGGUACUCCGGGGAUAACAGGCUGAUACCGCCCAAGAGUUCAUAUCGACGGCGGUGUUUGGCACCUCGAUGUCGGCUCAUCACAUCCUGGGGCUGAAGUAGGUCCCAAGGGUAUGGCUGUUCGCCAUUUAAAGUGGUACGCGAGCUGGGUUUAGAACGUCGUGAGACAGUUCGGUCCCUAUCUGCCGUGGGCGCUGGAGAACUGAGGGGGGCUGCUCCUAGUACGAGAGGACCGGAGUGGACGCAUCACUGGUGUUCGGGUUGUCAUGCCAAUGGCACUGCCCGGUAGCUAAAUGCGGAAGAGAUAAGUGCUGAAAGCAUCUAAGCACGAAACUUGCCCCGAGAUGAGUUCUCCCUGAGACUUAGAGUCUCCUGAAGGAACGUUGAAGACGACGACGUUGAUAGGCCGGGUGUGUAAGCGCAGCGAUGCGUUGAGCUAACCGGUACUAAUGAACCGUGAGGCUUAACCUU
RNAcentral lists this ribosomal RNA (3006 nucleotides) under Salmonella enterica. RNAcentral's name for it is "23S ribosomal RNA". It matches the Rfam family "Bacterial large subunit ribosomal RNA". Lineage: Bacteria; Pseudomonadati; Pseudomonadota; Gammaproteobacteria; Enterobacterales; Enterobacteriaceae. The record is from RNAcentral.